Non-coding RNA from Phthorimaea operculella (potato tuberworm), 73 nucleotides. The record is from the annotation of a GenBank genome assembly. NCBI's taxonomy places the organism in Eukaryota, Metazoa, Arthropoda, Insecta, Lepidoptera, Gelechiidae.
GCCACCGUGGUGUAACAGUAACACGUCUGACCCGGCACGUCAGAAGACGUGGGUUCGAAUCCCAUCAGCGGCG